AUUGAUAAGCCUCUCCAUUGUUUGGUUGAAGACAGAACCCGAGAAGGAAGAGAUUUCAGCAGGUGGCACCGUAACUUGAUGGAAUUUGAGUGGAUGUUGUUGGCGGCAUAGAAGGAAUGAGGUGAUCCUAGCUUCAGGCAACCUCCAUUGUUGGAAGAAAGUUAAGAGGUGGGAGAGAGUUGAUGGAAAAGGUGACUUUGGUAAACAUUUGCUUGACAGAGAUUAAUUUCAGAAUGAAGAAAUUUCUCAUAUAUUCCAAAGUGUUUUACAAGUGAGGCUUUCAUGAAUUUAUAGAUGCAUUCAUGAAGCUAGGCAAAAAAUAAAUGUGAU
This 330-nucleotide long non-coding RNA is filed under the name Vigna radiata. RNAcentral describes it as "long non-coding RNA (VRAD_LNC007898)". Lineage: Eukaryota; Viridiplantae; Streptophyta; Magnoliopsida; Fabales; Fabaceae. The record is from RNAcentral.